CCUACGGGGGGCAGCAGUGGGGAAUAUUGGGCAAUGGGCGCAAGCCUGACCCAGCAACGCCGCGUGAAGGAAGAAGGCUUUCGGGUUGUAAACUUCUUUUAAGAGGGAAGAGCAGAAGACGGUACCUCUUGAAUAAGCCACGGCUAACUACGUGCCAGCAGCCGCGGUCAUACGUAGGUGGCAAGCGUUGUCCGGAUUUACUGGGUGUAAAGGGGGUGCAGCCGGGAAGACAAGUCAGAUGUGAAAUCCCGCGGCUCAACCGCGGAACUGCAUUUGAAACUGUUUUUCGUGAGUACCGGAGAGGUCAUCGGAAUUCCUUGUGUAGCGGUGAAAUGCGUAGAUAUAAGGAAGAACACCAGUGGCGAAGGCGGAUGACUGGACGGCAACUGACGGUGAGGCGCGAAAGCGUGGGGAGCAAACAGGAUUAGAUACCCGAGUAGUC
Molecule: ribosomal RNA, 442 nt
Filed under: uncultured bacterium
Lineage: Bacteria
Description: partial 16S ribosomal RNA
Rfam family: Bacterial small subunit ribosomal RNA
Source: RNAcentral